GUCAUUGGUGUUGCUUUCGUCUCACAGUUCAUUGGACAGACCGUACUGCAUAUUAUGCUGAGCAUAUUCGGUAUGGUAGGCAGACCAUUGUUAGGUCUUUUCAUCUCGGGCCUAUUUCUGCCGUGGAUAAACGAAUGGGGGGCUCUGUCCGGCCUGAUAAUCAGCUCCUUGCUCAAUUUCUGGGUAGGGAUUGGCUCGAGCGUUGCACUUCCGGUACCGGAUGUAAUUC
Long non-coding RNA from Dreissena polymorpha, 229 nucleotides. RefSeq lists it as uncharacterized. The record is from RefSeq and is a predicted model, not a curated record. Lineage: Eukaryota; Metazoa; Mollusca; Bivalvia; Myida; Dreissenidae. The transcript is spliced from 3 exons.